AUGAACGCUGGCGGCGUGCUUAACACAUGCAAGUCGAACGGUGAACGAGGGAGCUUGCUCCCUCCGGAUCAGUGGCGAACGGGUGAGUAACACGUGAGUAACCUGCCCUUGACUCUGGGAUAAGCGUUGGAAACGACGUCUAAUACCGGAUACGACCUUCGGAGGCAUCUCCUGAAGGUGGAAAGAAUUUCGGUCAAGGAUGGACUCGCGGCCUAUCAGCUAGUUGGUGAGGUAAUGGCUCACCAAGGCGACGACGGGUAGCCG
This 264-nucleotide ribosomal RNA is filed under the name Microbacteriaceae bacterium ISOM242_OTU1144. Its description in RNAcentral is "partial 16S ribosomal RNA". It matches the Rfam family "Bacterial small subunit ribosomal RNA", at positions 29 to 289 of the family's 1533-position model. Lineage: Bacteria; Bacillati; Actinomycetota; Actinomycetes; Micrococcales; Microbacteriaceae. The record is from RNAcentral.